Molecule: ribosomal RNA, 468 nt
Filed under: uncultured bacterium
Lineage: Bacteria
Description: partial 16S ribosomal RNA
Rfam family: Bacterial small subunit ribosomal RNA
Source: RNAcentral
GAUGAACGCUGGCGGCGUGCUUAACACAUGCAAGUCGAACGGAAAGGCCAGUGCUUGCCCUGGUACUCGAGUGGCGAACGGGUGAGUAACACGUGGGUGAUCUGCCCUGUACUUCGGGAUAAGCUUGGGAAACUGGGUCUAAUACCGGAUAGGACAACUUUUUGGAUAUUGUUGUGGAAAGCUUUUGCGGUAUGGGAUGAGCUCGCGGCCUAUCAGCUUGUUGGUGGGGUAAUGGCCUACCAAGGCGUCGACGGGUAGCCGGCCUGAGAGGGUGUACGGCCACAUUGGGACUGAGAGACGGCCCAGACUCCUACGGGAGGCAGCAGUGGGGAAUAUUGCACAAUGGGCGCAAGCCUGAUGCAGCGACGCCGCGUGGGGGAUGAAGGCCUUCGGGUUGUAAACUCCUUUCGCUAGGGACGAAGCUUUUUUGUGACGGUACCUGGAGAAGAAGCACCGGCUAACUACGUG